ACACACAAUGAUUAGGACCCUGCUGCUGUCUGCUUUGGUGGCUGGAGCCCUCAGUUGUGGGGACCCCACUUACCCGCCUUAUGUGACUAGGGUGGUUGGAGGUGAAGAAGCGAGGCCCAACAGCUGGCCCUGGCAGGUGAGUCAACCACACUGUACUUCCCCCCAUCCCUGCCCCACUCCAUUUACAUCCCCGCUUUGCCCUUCCACCAUGGAGUCUAUUGUGCUGGCAAAGUGAGGAUUGAUGGGACUCAGAGAGCAGCACAGGCAACUUCACCAAUAAGAUGCAUUUCCGGCUGAGCACAGUGGCCCAUGCCUGUUAUCCCAGCACCCUGAGAGGCUGUGGUGGGCAGAUCACCUGAAGUCAGGAGUUUGAGACCAGCCUGGCCAACAUGGUGAAAACCACCUCUACUAAUAAUAGCCAGGCGUGGCGGCACACACCUGUAAUCCCAGCAACUCGGGAGGCUGAGGCAGGAGGAUCGCUUGAACCCAGGAGGCAGAGGUUGCAGUGAGCUGAAAUUGCACCACUGCACUCCAGCCUGGGAAACAAAGCAAGACUCUGUCUCAAAAAAAAAAAAAAAAAAAAA
Molecule: small RNA, 584 nt
Filed under: Pongo abelii (Sumatran orangutan)
Lineage: Eukaryota; Metazoa; Chordata; Mammalia; Primates; Hominidae
Description: processed transcript
Source: RNAcentral